GACGAACGCUGGCGGCGUGCCUAACACAUGCAAGUCGAACGGAAAGGCCCUGCUUUUGUGGGGUUCCCGAGUGGCGAACGGGUGUGUAACACGUGAGUAACCCGCCCUUGUCUUUGUGAUAACUUUAGGAAACUGGGGCUAAUACCGGAUAGGAGCUCCUGCUGCAUGGGGGGGGUUGGAAAGUUUCGGCGGUUGGGGGUGGACUCGCGGCUUAUCAGCUUGUUGGUGGGGUAGUGGCUUACCAAGGCUUUGACGGGUAGCCGGCCUGAGAGGGUGACCGGCCACAUUGGGACUGAGAUACGGCCCAGACUCCUACGGGAGGCAGCAGUGGGGAAUAUUGCACAAUGGGCGGAAGCCUGAUGCAGCAACGCCGCGUGCGGGAUGACGGCCUUCGGGUUGUAAACCGCUUUCGCCUGUGACGAAGCGUGAGUGACGGUAAUGGGUAAAGAAGCACCGGCUAACUACGUG
RNAcentral lists this ribosomal RNA (468 nucleotides) under uncultured bacterium. RNAcentral describes it as "partial 16S ribosomal RNA". It matches the Rfam family "Bacterial small subunit ribosomal RNA", at positions 28 to 507 of the family's 1533-position model. The record is from RNAcentral.